Molecule: long non-coding RNA, 620 nt
Organism: Episyrphus balteatus (marmalade hoverfly)
Lineage: Eukaryota; Metazoa; Arthropoda; Insecta; Diptera; Syrphidae
Exons: 4
Source: RefSeq, a predicted model, not a curated record
GUCUUACAGUGUGAAUCGUGAAUGUCUGAUCGAUAAGAGGAGCUAUUCAGCGGAGAGCUGAAGCAAAAAUAAAAAGAGAUUUGUUCGAUUUCCCAUUUGCCGCCGCCCGCCCGUCGCCUGUUGCCAUCACGUCGUUUCAUGCAUCAAAAAUUUAAGUGCUCUUCUUACACCACGUUGCUACCACGAAGCUGCCGCCACAUUAUUGUCUGCCUCCGGUGUCGUUGUCGUUAUUUGCCACACCACGUUCCUUCCAGCCACCACGUUGUUCCCGCCAGCCGCCACCAUCAUCCCGCUAAAAUAAUUCCUGUGCCAUCACGUUGCCACCACCACGCUGCCGCCACAUUAUUGUCUGCCUCCGCUGUCGUUGUCGUCAUUUGCCACACCACGUUCCAUCCAGCCACCACGUUGCUCCCGCCAGCCUCCACCAAUCUUGCUGAAAUAAUUUCCUACUUUUUAUUUAUUUACUUAUUUUAUUUUAUUUACUUUAUAAAUUUGUAUAAACUUAAAACAAACUUGCUGUUCAUUUCAAAGAAAUGGAACUACAAUUACUGCCUAGAAUCAUUUUUUAUUAAUAUUUUAAAAUUUGAUUGCAUUAUAUUCAUUAACCCUCUUCCGCAACC